Molecule: ribosomal RNA, 466 nt
Filed under: uncultured bacterium
Lineage: Bacteria
Description: partial 16S ribosomal RNA
Rfam family: Bacterial small subunit ribosomal RNA
Source: RNAcentral
GACGAACGCUGGCGGCGUGCUUAACACAUGCAAGUCGAACGGGAAGGCCCUGCUUGCCGGGUCCUCGAGUGGCGAACGGGCGCGUAACACGGGGGUGAUUUGCCCUCCACUUUGGGAUAAGCUUGGAAAACUGGGUCUUAUCCCGGAUAGGAACUACCAUUAACGUGGUGGUUGGAAAGAUCUUUCGGUGUAGGAUGAGUUCGCGGCCUAUCAGCUUGUUGGUGGGGUAAUGGCCUACCAAGGCAGCGACGGGUAGCUGGCUUGACAGAGUGUACGGACACACUGGACUUGAAAGCCGGCCCAGACUCGUACGUGGGGCACCAGUGGAGCAUAUAGCACAAUGCGCGCAAGCAUGAUGCAGCGACGCCGCGUGGGUGUAGAAUCCCUUCGGGGUGUAAUCUCCGCUCGCUAGGGAUAAAGCUUUGUUGUGACGGUACCUAGAUAAGAAGCACCGGCUAACUACGUG